RNAcentral lists this ribosomal RNA (434 nucleotides) under uncultured bacterium. Its description in RNAcentral is "partial 16S ribosomal RNA". It matches the Rfam family "Bacterial small subunit ribosomal RNA", at positions 29 to 507 of the family's 1533-position model. The record is from RNAcentral.
AGCGAACGCUGGCGGCAGGCCUAACACAUGCAAGUCGAACGAACCUUUCGGGGUUAGUGGCGGACGGGGGAGUAACACGUGGGAACGUGCCUUUAGGUUCGGAAUAACUCAGGGAAACUUGUGCUAAUACCGAAUGGGCCCUUCGGGGGAAAGAUUUAUCGCCUUUAGAGCGGCCCGCGUCUGAUUAGCUAGUUGGUUGAGGUAAUGGCUCACCAAGGCGACGAUCAGUAGCUGGUCUGAGAGGAUGAUCAGCCACAUUGGGACUGAGACACGGCCCAAACUCCUACGGGAGGCAGCAGUGGGGAAUCUUGCGCAAUGGGCGAAAGCCUGACGCAGCCAUGCCGCGUGAAUGAUGAAGGUCUUAGGAUUGUAAAAUUCUUUCACCGGGGACGAUAAUGACGGUACCCGGAGAAGAAGCCCCGGCUAACUUCGUG